CAAUAGCGUAUAUUAAAGUUGUUGCGGUUAAAAGCUCGUAGUUGGAGUUCAGAUUGAGCUCGGCCGGUCGGCCUAAUUGGUCAGAACUGGUUGACUCUGUCUUGUUUGUGGAUCCCUCCGGAGUUAACUCUUCGGAUGUGGAGUCCACAUCGUUUACCUUGAAAAAUUAGAGUGUUCAAAGCAGGCGUUUGCUUGAAUAUAUUAGCAUGGAAUAAUGGAAUAGGACGCUGGUUCUAUUUUGUUGGUUUUGAGAACCAGAGUAAUGAUUAAUAGGGACAGUUGGGGGCGAUUCAUAUUUCUAUUGUUCAGAGGUGGAAAUUACUUGGAUUUAUUGAAAGAAUGAACUUCUUGCGAAAGCAUUUGUCCAAGGAAUGUUUUCUAUUAAUCAAGAACGAAAGUUAGGGGAGUCGAAGAUGAUUAGAUACCAU
Molecule: ribosomal RNA, 428 nt
Filed under: uncultured eukaryote
Lineage: Eukaryota
Description: bacterial SSU rRNA
Rfam family: Eukaryotic small subunit ribosomal RNA
Source: RNAcentral